GAUCUAGAACAGAUUUAAAUUUUAAUUUUUUUCAGAUUUAGAUAAGAUAUAUAUAUUUAUUUCUUUUUUAGAUCUGGAUAUGAAGUGAAAAAUAUGAAUUCAUGAUGGAUCUAGAUCAGAUAUGAAUCUUAAUUUUUAUUAUGAAUUUAAAUCUAAAACAUAAUAGAUCCAACUCAUAUCUAUCUCAUUGUCAUCCCUACAUAAAAUGCAGAACAUAUUCACCUUCGCUCAACUAAAUCCAUAAAAUGUAUUCAAUGGAUAGAAGUCGAAUUAAUGGUUACUUCAUUGUUAAGCAUCAUUAAAUGCUUAGUCCUUAGGCUCCCAUCAUGUGUGAACACGAAAAUCAGCUAGCUAACACGUGCCAUCCAGCCAUCUGUUUUGAUCGUUACCCCAGGCAAUUCGGCACGAAAUUAGAAAUGAGUAAGUAAUCGACCCGAUGCUAUUGAGUAUUAACGGCGGGGUUUACCAAUGAGUAAUUAGAAUAAGCAAAAAUUAGGAUGGAUUGAAAUGUGAGUGAGGAACAGAGAUCACAAUAAACUAUUUAUUUGAAUUCUAAAAUCAAAAUCGAAAUGAAUGUAUUUGUAUAAACGUGUUCGCUUUGUCUUAUAAUUAGAAUAGAUUAUUUCAAGUUACUAAAUAUCCCCAGUUAAUCAAUGUCAUUUUUAUUAUUAUUUUGUUAUAA
This 682-nucleotide long non-coding RNA is filed under the name Citrus x clementina. Its description in RNAcentral is "Citrus clementina (C. clementina) long non-coding RNA (CCLE_LNC000274)". The record is from RNAcentral. Lineage: Eukaryota; Viridiplantae; Streptophyta; Magnoliopsida; Sapindales; Rutaceae.